GAACUGGAGAGUUUGAUUCUGGCUCAGAUUGAACGCUGGCGGCGUGCUUAACACAUGCAAGUCGAACGCGAAAGAGGCUUCGGUCUCGAGUAGAGUGGCGCG
Molecule: non-coding RNA, 102 nt
Filed under: Desulfovibrio sp. 6_1_46AFAA
Lineage: Bacteria; Pseudomonadati; Thermodesulfobacteriota; Desulfovibrionia; Desulfovibrionales; Desulfovibrionaceae
Description: Bacterial small subunit ribosomal RNA
Rfam family: Bacterial small subunit ribosomal RNA
Source: Rfam by way of RNAcentral